RNAcentral lists this small RNA (125 nucleotides) under Marmota monax (woodchuck). Lineage: Eukaryota; Metazoa; Chordata; Mammalia; Rodentia; Sciuridae. The record is from RNAcentral.
GUUGGGCGUGGUGGCACACACUUGUAAUCCCAGCAGCUUGGGAGGCUGAGGCAGGAGGAUCAUGAAUUGAAAGCUAGCUUCAGCAAUGGCAAGGUGCUAGGCAACUCAGUGAGACCCUGUCUCUA